UCAACACUUACAAAACUAAAAUAUUGACAUAAGCUGCUUUCACAAACUUGUAUUCCCCAGGGGCAAUAAUCAGGCCUCAUUUGCUGCUUUUCUGUCAUCUUGUGCAGGGUUAUACUCAUAUCUCUGAAACUGUUUUUUGUCUCUGCAAAAUAAAUGAGUGAUGCUACACUAGGUCCACCUCAAAAUGGAUGCUGAUGGAUAGAGCUCAAUGCAUUAACUUUGAUGGUGCAGAAACAUAUCAAGGGACUCUCUUUAUGUCUUUUGAAAUACAUUUUCAAUUUUCAGGUUAUUUUGCUACCCUCAAUGUACUUUCUUUUAACUUACACCAUUACCUAGAGUAUAAAGCCUUUUUAUACUACUCUAUUACUAGUAACUUUCAUGUGUUUGAAGAUGGUUAUAACAUUUUUCUCAUUGAACUCCUUGCUAAUCAAUUAAUAAGAAUAGAGUAAAAUAUUUAUUCAAAACCACUCAGACUCCCAGUGAGCAAAGAUGCAGAAAAAAAGAAUAAUAGAAGAAAGCAUGGAGUAAGGCAUUAUUCAAAGGCGUGGAUAUUUCCAUAAGAAACAGCUAUUUUUAUGACUGAUUUCAUUUCUCCAGACACCCAGCCAUGUUGUCACUUGUAAGUGACGUACUAGGAAGAUUUUCAAUCAUAAAGAUCAGAACGCUGUUUUUGGAAAGACUUCGAUUUCUGUAACCAUUAUUGCACUGUGCUAAGAGACUAUGCUUAAUGUAUUGCAGUCAAGUUUGAUAGAAAUUAAAAGUAUUUCUUAAAAAUUACUGUUAAAUUAAUAUGCCUUCACCAGUGCUAUAAGUCAGUGAAUGCUUUCAUAUUUAUGUUUCCCAUUAAAGUCAGUGAAAAUUUCUCAGGUCUUUUAGCCCUUACCCUUAAACUAGAUUCUAUCACAGUUCAGUAUUCUUGAUUGUGUAUCCUAUACAACAUAUAUAAUGUGCCUCAUUAAUGCCAUAACAUACUACAAAAUAUCUGUAUAUUAUAACAUGCUAAAUGGACAUAAGCAACAAUUUAUAUCAAAUUCAUAUAAGGCAAAUUGCUAUCUGUGUAAGAACUAUAAAACUCAUUAUGCAUAAAAAAGACAGGCAUGCUCAACUGACACCCUGGAAAAAAUAAGGAUCAAAAUAACCUCUCACCAAAAGCUGCAACUCAUACAUUUAUCAUUUAAAAAACUGCAUAUCAGUAUUAACUUGACAAGGUCCAAUUGUGAGAUAAAGUUAUCUUUCCACUUAAAAGUAGAAUAACAAGAAUGAAAGGCAAUAACAACU
This 1278-nucleotide long non-coding RNA is filed under the name Gallus gallus (chicken). RNAcentral describes it as "lncRNA (ENSGALG00010010240.1)". Lineage: Eukaryota; Metazoa; Chordata; Aves; Galliformes; Phasianidae. The record is from RNAcentral.